This 497-nucleotide ribosomal RNA is filed under the name uncultured bacterium. RNAcentral describes it as "partial 16S ribosomal RNA". It matches the Rfam family "Bacterial small subunit ribosomal RNA", at positions 28 to 507 of the family's 1533-position model. The record is from RNAcentral.
GAUGAACGCUGGCGGCGUGCCUAAUACAUGCAAGUCGAGCGAACAGACGAGGAGCUUGCUCCUCUGACGUUAGCGGCGGACGGGUGAGUAACACGUGGAUAACCUACCUAUAAGACUGGGAUAACUUCGGGAAACCGGAGCUAAUACCGGAUAAUAUAUUAAACCGCAUGGUUCAAUAGUGAAAGACGGUUUUGCUGUAACUUAUAGAUGGAUCCGCGCCGCAUUAGCUAGUUGGUAAGGUAACGGCUUACCAAGGCAACGAUGCGUAGCCGACCUGAGAGGGUGAUCGGCCACACUGGAACUGAGACACGGUCCAGACUCCUACGGGAGGCAGCAGUAGGGAAUCUUCCGCAAUGGGCGAAAGCCUGACGGAGCAACGCCGCGUGAGUGAUGAAGGUCUUCGGAUCGUAAAACUCUGUUAUUAGGGAAGAACAAAUGUGUAAGUAACUAUGCACGUCUUGACGGUACCUAAUCAGAAAGCCACGGCUAACUACGUG